This 494-nucleotide ribosomal RNA is filed under the name uncultured bacterium. Its description in RNAcentral is "partial 16S ribosomal RNA". It matches the Rfam family "Bacterial small subunit ribosomal RNA", at positions 28 to 507 of the family's 1533-position model. The record is from RNAcentral.
GACGAACGCUGGCGGCGUGCUUAACACAUGCAAGUCGAACGGUGAAGCGCCUUCCUUUUUGGUGGGUGUGGAUGAGUGGCGAACGGGUGAGUAACACGUGAGUAACCUGCCCCCUUCUUCUGGAUAACCGCAUGAAAGUGUGGCUAAUACGGGAUAUUCUGGGUCUGUCGCAUGAUGGGUCUGGGAAAGAUAUUGUUUCGGUGGGGGAUGGGCUCGCGGCCUAUCAGCUUGUUGGUGGGGUGAUGGCCUACCAAGGCGGUGACGGGUAGCCGGCCUGAGAGAGGGGACACGCACACUGGGACUGAGACACGGCCCAGACUCCUACGGGAGGCAGCAGUGGGGAAUAUUGCACAAUGGGCGCAAGCCUGAUGCAGCGACGCCGCGUGAGGGAUGGAGGCCUUCGGGUUGUGAACCUCUUUCGCCAGUGAAGCAGGCCUGCCUCGUUUGUGGGUGGGUUGACGGUAGCUGGAUAAGAAGCGCCGGCUAACUACGUG